GUACUCCUACGGGGCGCAGCAGUGGGGAAUAUUGCACAAUGGGGGGAACCCUGAUGCAGCGACGCCGCGUGAGUGAGGAAGUAUUUCGGUAUGUAAAGCUCUAUCAGCAGGGAAGAAAAUGACGGUACCUGACUAAGAAGCUCCGGCUAAAUACGUGCCAGCAGCCGCGGUAAUACGUAUGGAGCAAGCGUUAUCCGGAUUUACUGGGUGUAAAGGGAGCGCAGACGGCAGGGCAAGUCUGAUGUGAAAGUCUGGGGCUCAACCCCGGGACUGCAUUGGAAACUGUCCGGCUAGAGUGCAGGAGG
Molecule: ribosomal RNA, 305 nt
Filed under: uncultured bacterium
Lineage: Bacteria
Description: bacterial SSU rRNA
Rfam family: Bacterial small subunit ribosomal RNA
Source: RNAcentral